Molecule: ribosomal RNA, 681 nt
Filed under: uncultured nitrite-oxidizing bacterium
Lineage: Bacteria
Description: bacterial SSU rRNA
Rfam family: Bacterial small subunit ribosomal RNA
Source: RNAcentral
GGCUCAGGACGAACGCUGGCGGCGCGCCUAAUACAUGCAAGUCGAGCGAGAAGGUGUAGCAAUACACUUGUAAAGCGGCGGACGGGUGAGGAAUGCAUGGGUAACCUACCCUCGAGUGGGGAAUAACUAGCCGAAAGGUUAGCUAAUACCGCAUACGUUUCCGGGACUUCGGUUCCGGAAAGAAAGCAAUACCGUGGGUAUUGCGCUCAUGGAUGGGCUCAUGUCCUAUCAGCUUGUUGGUGAGGUAACGGCUCACCAAGGCUUCGACGGGUAGCUGGUCUGAGAGGACGAUCAGCCACACUGGCACUGCGACACGGGCCGGACUCCUACGGGAGGCAGCAGUAAGGAAUACUGCGCAAUGGACGAAAGUCUGACGCAGCGACGCCGCGUGGGGGAUGAAGGUCUUCGGAUUGUAAACCCCUUUCGGCAGGGAAGAUGGAACGGGUAACCGUUCGGACGGUACCUGCAGAAGCAGCCACGGCUAACUUCGUGCCAGCAGCCGCGGUAAUACGAAGGUGGCAAGCGUUAUUCGGAUUUACUGGGCGUACAGGGAGCGUAGGCGGUUUGGUAAGCCCUCUGUGAAAUCUCCAGGCUUAACCUGGAAAAGUCGGAGGGGACUGCUGAGCUAGAGGACGGGAGAGGAGCGCGGAAUUCCCGGUGUAGCGGUGAAAUGCGUAGAGA